AUGCACGCUGGCGGCGUGCUUCACCCAUGCAAGUCGCACGGUGAAGGCGGAGCUUGCUCUGCUGGAUCAGUGGCGAACGGGUGAGUAACACGUGAGCAAUCUGCCCCUGACUCUGGGAUAAGCGCUGGAAACGGCGUCUAAUACUGGAUACGAGCUGCGAAGGCAUCUUCAGCAGCUGGAAAGAAUUUCGGUCAGGGAUGAGCUCGCGGCCUAUCAGCUUGUUGGUGAGGUAAUGGCUCACCAAGGCGUCGACGGGUAGCCGGCCUGAGAGGGUGACCGGCCACACUGGGACUGAGACACGGCCCAGACUCCUACGGGAGGCAGCAGUGGGGAAUAUUGCACAAUGGGCGAAAGCCUGAUGCAGCAACGCCGCGUGAGGGACGACGGCCUUCGGGUUGUAAACCUCUUUUAGCAGGGAAGAAGCGAAAGUGACGGUACCUGCAGAAAAAGCGCCGGCUAACUACGUG
Molecule: ribosomal RNA, 467 nt
Filed under: uncultured bacterium
Lineage: Bacteria
Description: partial 16S ribosomal RNA
Rfam family: Bacterial small subunit ribosomal RNA
Source: RNAcentral